AGUGAACGCUGGCGGUAGGCCUAACACAUGCAAGUCGAACGGCAGCACAGUAAGAGCUUGCGCUUACGGGUGGCGAGUGGCGGACGGGUGAGGAAUACAUCGGAAUCUACUUUUUCGUGGGGGAUCACGUAGGGAAACUUACGCUAAUACCGCAUACGACCUACGGGUGAAAGCAGGGGAUCUUCGGACCUUGCGCGAUUGAAUGAGCCGAUGUCGGAUUGGCUAGUUGGCGGGGUAAAGGCCCAGCAAGUCGCCGAUCCGUAGCUUGUCUGAGAGGAUGGUCAGCCACACUGGAAGUGAGCCACGGUCCAGACUCCUACGGUAGGCAGCAGUGGGGAAUAUUGGACAAUGGGCGCAAGCCUGAUCCAGCCGUCCCGCGUGGGUGAAGAAGGCCUUCGGGUUGUAAAGACCUUUUGUUGGGAAAGAAAAGCAGCAGGUUAAUACCACGCUGUUCUGACGGUACCCAAAGAAUAAGCACCGGCUAACUUCGUG
Molecule: ribosomal RNA, 492 nt
Filed under: uncultured bacterium
Lineage: Bacteria
Description: partial 16S ribosomal RNA
Rfam family: Bacterial small subunit ribosomal RNA
Source: RNAcentral